Molecule: ribosomal RNA, 758 nt
Filed under: uncultured Eikenella sp.
Lineage: Bacteria; Pseudomonadati; Pseudomonadota; Betaproteobacteria; Neisseriales; Neisseriaceae
Description: bacterial SSU rRNA
Rfam family: Bacterial small subunit ribosomal RNA
Source: RNAcentral
AUUGAACGCGGCGGCAUGCUUUACACAUGCAAGUCGAACGGCAGCGGGGUAGUGCUUGCACUACUGCCGGCGAGUGGCGAACGGGUGAGUAAUAUAUCGGAACGUACCGAGUAAUGGGGGAUAACCAAUCGAAAGAUUGGCUAAUACCGCAUACGUCCUAAGGGAGAAAGCGGGGGAUCGCAAGACCUCGCGUUAUUCGAGCGGCCGAUAACUGAUUAGCUAGUUGGUGGGGUAAAGGCCUACCAAGGCGACGAUCAGUAGCGGGUCUGAGAGGACGAUCCGCCACACUGGGACUGAGACACGGCCCAGACUCCUACGGGAGGCAGCAGUGGGGAAUUUUGGACAAUGGGGGCAACCCUGAUCCAGCCAUGCCGCGUGUAUGAAGAAGGCCUUCGGGUUGUAAAGUACUUUUGUUAGGGAAGAAAAGGGAAGUGCUAAUACCACUUUUUGCUGACGGUACCUAAAGAAUAAGCACCGGCUAACUACGUGCCAGCAGCCGCGGUAAUACGUAGGGUGCGAGCGUUAAUCGGAAUUACUGGGCGUAAAGCGAGCGCAGACGGUUACUUAAGCAGGAUGUGAAAUCCCCGGGCUUAACCUGGGAACUGCGUUCUGAACUGGGUAGCUAGAGUAUGUCAGAGGGGGGUAGAAUUCCACGUGUAGCAGUGAAAUGCGUAGAGAUGUGGAGGAAUACCGAUGGCGAAGGCAGCCCCCUGGGAUGAUACUGACGUUCAUGCUCGAAAGCGUGGGUAGCAAACAGG